GACAGAGGUCUCGAGCGUUAGGCGGAAUCACUGGGCUUAAAGCGUGUGUAGGCGGAGUUCUAAGUACCUUGUGAAAUCCCACGGCUUAACCGUGGAACUGCUUGGUAUACUGGUUCUCUUGGGCCACUUAGGGGCUACCGGAACAAACGGUGGAGCGGUGAAAUGCGUAGAUAUCGUUUGGAACGCCAAUGGUGAAAACAGGUAGCUGGGAGUGUGCCGACGCUGAGACACGAAAGCCAGGGGAGCGAGCGGG
Molecule: ribosomal RNA, 253 nt
Filed under: uncultured bacterium
Lineage: Bacteria
Description: partial 16S ribosomal RNA
Rfam family: Bacterial small subunit ribosomal RNA
Source: RNAcentral